Molecule: transfer RNA, 71 nt
Filed under: Lactobacillus helveticus
Lineage: Bacteria; Bacillati; Bacillota; Bacilli; Lactobacillales; Lactobacillaceae
Description: tRNA-Pro
Rfam family: tRNA
About the family: Transfer RNA (tRNA) molecules are approximately 80 nucleotides in length.
Source: RNAcentral
GAAAUGGCUCAGUUUGGUAGAGCGCUGCGUUCGGGACGCAGAGGUCGCAAGUUCAAAUCUUGUUUUCCCGA